ACGCUCACCAGCGCGAUGCCCAUCAGGAUCACCCAGGUAAGGUGGGUUUCCACCCGGUUCAUGGUAAAUAGCGGCUUGCGUGGUACAUCCACAACGCGUUUGCGUAAACGCGUUUUAUAGGUCACGUAAUACACGCCGUAGAAACAGGCGGCGGAUAAUAGAGCCUGCAAUAAGAUUUCCGGCGGCGCGACGCCAACGUCGAAACGAAAUACCAGCACGCUGGUUAGCGGAAAACCAAAAAAGAAGGUCAACAAAAACAGCAACGAAAAGAAAACGUUGAAGUUAAAACGCACGCGGCGGAAUUCAAACCAGGUCAGCGUGGCGAUAAACAGCGUAGAGAGCAGCCAGACCACCAGCAGCCCGCUGAAU
RNAcentral lists this unclassified non-coding RNA (369 nucleotides) under uncultured fungus. RNAcentral's name for it is "partial internal transcribed spacer 1". The record is from RNAcentral. Lineage: Eukaryota; Fungi.